This 193-nucleotide ribosomal RNA is filed under the name uncultured bacterium. Its description in RNAcentral is "partial 16S ribosomal RNA". It matches the Rfam family "Bacterial small subunit ribosomal RNA", at positions 326 to 539 of the family's 1533-position model. The record is from RNAcentral.
ACGCUCGACACCAGGCAGCAGUGGGGAAUAUUGCACAAUGGGGGAAACCCUGAUGCAGCGACGCCGCGUGAGGGAAGAAGGUUUUCGGAUUGUAAACCUCUGUCCUUGGCGAAGAAGGAAGACGGUAGCCAAGGAGGAAGCCACGGCUAACUACGUGCCUGCAGCCGCGGUAAUCUGAGCGGGCUGGCAAGGC